GACGAACGCUGGCGGCGUGCUUAACACAUGCAAGUCGAACGGAAAGGCCCUGCUUUUGUGGGGUGCUCGAGUGGCGAACGGGUGAGUAACACGUGAGUAACCUGCCCUUGACUUUGGGAUAACUUCAGGAAACUGGGGCUAAUACCGGAUAGGAGCUCCUGCUGCAUGGUGGGGGUUGGAAAGUUUCGGCGGUUGGGGAUGGACUCGCGGCUUAUCAGCUUGUUGGUGGGGUAGUGGCUUACCAAGGCUUUGACGGGUAGCCGGCCUGAGAGGGUGACCGGCCACAUUGGGACUGAGAUACGGCCCAGACUCAUACGGGAGGCAGCAGUGGGGAAUAUUGAACAAUGGGCGGAAGCCUGAUGAAGCAACGCCGCGUGCGGGAUGACGGCCUUCGGGUUGUAAACCGCUUUCGCCUGUGACGAAGCGUGAGUGACGGUAAUGGGUAAAGAAGCACCGGCUAACUACGUG
RNAcentral lists this ribosomal RNA (468 nucleotides) under uncultured bacterium. RNAcentral describes it as "partial 16S ribosomal RNA". It matches the Rfam family "Bacterial small subunit ribosomal RNA", at positions 28 to 507 of the family's 1533-position model. The record is from RNAcentral.